GACGAACGCUGGCGGCGUGCCUAAUACAUGCAAGUAGAACGCUGAAGGAGGAGCUUGCUUCUCUGGAUGAGUUGCGAACGGGUGAGUAACGCGUAGGUAACCUGCCUGGUAGCGGGGGAUAACUAUUGGAAACGAUAGCUAAUACCGCAUAAUAGCAGUUAUUGCAUGAUAACUGUUUGAAAGGUGCAAUUGCACCACUACCAGAUGGACCUGCGUUGUAUUAGCUAGUUGGUGAGGUAACGGCUCACCAAGGCGACGAUACAUAGCCGACCUGAGAGGGUGAUCGGCCACACUGGGACUGAGACACGGCCCAGACUCCUACGGGAGGCAGCAGUAGGGAAUCUUCGGCAAUGGACGGAAGUCUGACCGAGCAACGCCGCGUGAGUGAAGAAGGUUUUCGGAUCGUAAAGCUCUGUUGUAAGAGAAGAACGAGUGUGAGAGUGGAAAGUUCA
This 452-nucleotide ribosomal RNA is filed under the name Streptococcus mitis. RNAcentral's name for it is "bacterial SSU rRNA". It matches the Rfam family "Bacterial small subunit ribosomal RNA", at positions 28 to 466 of the family's 1533-position model. The record is from RNAcentral. Lineage: Bacteria; Bacillati; Bacillota; Bacilli; Lactobacillales; Streptococcaceae.